GCCGAGCAGAGCUGCUGAUGCAGUCUGCGCUGCUUCCACUACCCGCUCCGCAGGUUUAACUGCGCUGCCGCACACAGCAGCACCAGAAGCUACCCGCGUAACACAACGUGCAAUGGCCAGGGAGUAGUGUUCACGGGCAUAGAUGGUAAACCUGUGUAGUCUUCGCUGAGGGAUUAUUUGUUUUUGGUUUUGUUCCUGGAGGUGUGAUAUCGCAGCCAUGGUGUGCUGUCAGACUCCCAGAAGUUUACGCAGAAGCGACUGGGACUUCGCUCCUCUGCUGGCGGCCGCGCUGCUCAGCCUUCUGGUCGCAGGGAUGCAACAAACCACAGCGUUUCCCUCCUGGAGGUUAGAGGAAGAAGCUUACACCACUGUGUUGCUCAUCGGGAUCCGCAAAGAGGCUCGGUCACAAGUGCUUCACCUCUCCAGGAACAAGCGCUACACCCUCACCCCGGAGCAGCUCAAAUGGGACCAGUUCAAGCUAACAUACAAGUUGCUCUCCUUCCCUACAAACUUGAUAAAUGCCAGCGACACGCGGAGAGGCAUCGCCAAGGCUUUUGGCGUGUGGAGCGACGUCUCGCCGUUCAGCUUCAGAGAGGUGCCAGCUGACCAAGAGGCAGACAUUAAGAUCGGCUUCUACCCCGUCAACCACACAGACUGUCUGCAGUCCUACCUGCACCAUUGUUUUGACGGAAUCACAGGAGAAUUGGCUCAUGCAUUCUUCCCGCCAACUGGCGAGAUCCACUUCGACGAUCACGAAUACUGGAUUCUAGGAAACAUGCGCUUUAGUUGGAAGAAAGGGGUUUGGCUGACGGAUCUUGUCCAUGUGGCAACUCAUGAAAUUGGCCACGUCCUGGGACUCAUGCACUCACUCGACUCCAAAGCCAUAAUGCACCUGAAUGCAACUCUGACAGGACGCAAGCUAAUCACACAGGAUGAGGUGUGGGGUUUGCACCGUCUCUACGGAUGUUUGGACCGGUUAUUUAUCUGUCCGGCCUGGGCUCGGAAAGGCUAUUGCGAUAGCAAGCGCAAGCUGAUGCAGAAGCACUGCCCCUCCAGCUGUGAUUUCUGUUACGGUAAGACACAGCAGCAGAAAGCAGCAGCAGUCCACGGGGGAAAGAAAGACGUUUUCUCUCAACUGAGCAGCGCAAGGAGCUGCUGUGAAUCGUUUGCCAAUAGAGCAACGGGAGCCAACAGGUCCAGCCACGCAGAGCAGCGAUGGGGGUUUUCAAGAAUCUGAUUUGAAGGGAGAUUACACUUGCCACCGGAAGAGUUUGUGUUCGGUUCUGGAGGAUACCAGCAACCCUAGGGAGGAAAUGUUAGUUUUAGCCCCACACUGACAGAACAGAGCAGGUACCUGUCGGUUGCUGCCUCAACACCAAAUAUUGAUAACACAUCAGCAAUCCGACAGCAUAAGCCAGUUUAGUUGUAUUGUUGGAUGCACUGGUGCUCAGGCAUCCUGUUGCACAACAGGAAAUGGCUCCUUUAAACCAUCACAGCACAUAGAUUGUUGUGGCUUUCUGAGAUUUUUGUCAGCAACAAGGGACAGUGCGGGGAGAGGCAAGAGGAUACGAUUCCUGGCUCGCAGUAAUCUGUUCCUCAUUGUUGAUUGGGAGACGUUGUACGGCUGUGGAAAAUUCCUGAGUGACUCCAAACCGCUGGAAUUUCAGACUGUGGCUUGAGGGUUAGAGACACACAAGGUCAAUUUGGAUUUUUGCGGCAUUAACGAGAGCGACUGUUUUUUAAGCAGACUUUGAGUUGAUCACAGGGCGGCCUGUUGCGUUUGUCAGAAACCAGAUGGGAGAGAUUAUAUUGAUAAGACACCCGCGGCGCCGGCAGCGUGUCUGACGUGAUAAGGUUUGCGUCACAACUUUUAAAAGAAUUUCCUUUCCCCACUGUGGCUCCCACCCCGGCGGCCCCGAGGACCAAACACAAGCUGGUCGUCGAGGGCAAGAAGCUCACUUUUCGAUGUGGGAAGAAAAUAGCAUCAAAGAAAGGCAAAGUACA
RNA transcript from Cottoperca gobio, 2004 nucleotides. It is a transcript of the gene named matrix metallopeptidase 23ba, with no coding region annotated. Lineage: Eukaryota; Metazoa; Chordata; Actinopteri; Perciformes; Bovichtidae. The transcript has 7 exons. The record is from RefSeq and is a predicted model, not a curated record.